AACGAACGCUGGCGGCGUGCCUAAGACAUGCAAGUCGUACGGAAAGGCCCCCUUCGGGGGGCACUCGAGUGGCGCACGAGUGAGUAACGCGUGGGUAAUCUGCCUUAGGGUCUAGGACAACCCCGGGAAACUGGGGCUAAUACUGGAUAAGACCACGAGCUCUUCGGAGCUUGCGGAAAAAGAUGGCCUCUCCUUGGAAGCUAUCGCCCUUCGAUGAGCCCGCGUCCCAUUAGCUAGUUGGUGAGGUGACGGCUCACCAAGGCUUUGAUGGGUAGCUGGUCUGAGAGGAUGAUCAGCCACACUGGAACUGAGACACGGUCCAGACUCCUACGGGAGGCAGCAGUCGGGAAUUUUGGGCAAUGGGCGAAAGCCUGACCCAGCAACGCCGCGUGAGGGAUGAAGGCCCUCGGGUCGUAAACCUCUGUCGGGAGGGAAGAACGGUUGCCGUUCGAACGGGACGGGAGCCUGACGGUACCUCCAAAGGAAGCACCGGCUAACUCCGUGCCAGCAGCCGCGGUAAUAC
This 523-nucleotide ribosomal RNA is filed under the name uncultured bacterium. RNAcentral describes it as "bacterial SSU rRNA". It matches the Rfam family "Bacterial small subunit ribosomal RNA", at positions 29 to 526 of the family's 1533-position model. The record is from RNAcentral.